GACGAACCGUGCGAACGUUGUUCGGAAUCACUGGGCUUAAAGGGCGCGUAGGCGGCCAUUCAAGUCAGAGGUGAAAGCCCAAGGCUCAACCUUGGAACUGCCUUUGAUACUGUUUGGCUUGAGACCGGUAGAGGUAAGUGGAACUGCGAGUGUAGAGGUGAAAUUCGUAGAUAUUCGCAAGAACACCAGUGGCGAAGGCGGCUUACUGGACCGGUUCUGACGCUGAGGCGCGAAAGCGUGGGGAGCAAACAGG
This 253-nucleotide ribosomal RNA is filed under the name uncultured bacterium. RNAcentral's name for it is "partial 16S ribosomal RNA". It matches the Rfam family "Bacterial small subunit ribosomal RNA", at positions 524 to 776 of the family's 1533-position model. The record is from RNAcentral.